UCUAAAGAGACUGCCGAUGCAAAUCGGAGGAAGUGGGGAUGACGUCAAAUCAUCAUGCCCUUUAUGUCCUGGGCUACACACGUGCUACAAUGGUCGGUACAACGAGAAGCAAGCCAGCGAUGGCAAGCGAAAAUCCUACUAAAACGCCGAUCCCAGUUCGGAUUGCAGGCUGCAACUCGCCUGCAUGAAGUCGGAGUUGCUAGUAAUCGCAGGUCAGCAUACUGCGGUGAAUACGUUCCCGGGCCUU
Molecule: ribosomal RNA, 247 nt
Filed under: uncultured Eubacteriales bacterium
Lineage: Bacteria; Bacillati; Bacillota; Clostridia; Eubacteriales
Description: uncultured Clostridiales bacterium partial 16S ribosomal RNA
Rfam family: Bacterial small subunit ribosomal RNA
Source: RNAcentral